This 208-nucleotide ribosomal RNA is filed under the name uncultured bacterium. RNAcentral's name for it is "partial 16S ribosomal RNA". It matches the Rfam family "Bacterial small subunit ribosomal RNA", at positions 568 to 774 of the family's 1533-position model. The record is from RNAcentral.
AGCGCAGGCGGUUUUUUUAAGUCUGAUGUGAAAGCCCUUGGCUCAACCAAGGAAGUGCAUCGGAAACUGGAGAACUUGAGUGCAGAAGAGGACAGUGGAACUCCAUGUGUAGCGGUGAAAUGCGUAGAUAUAUGGAAGAACACCAGUGGCGAAGGCGGCUGUCUGGUCUGUAACUGACGCUGAGGCUCGAAAGCAUGGGUAGCGAACA